Molecule: unclassified non-coding RNA, 292 nt
Filed under: uncultured fungus
Lineage: Eukaryota; Fungi
Description: partial contains small subunit ribosomal RNA, internal transcribed spacer 1, and 5.8S ribosomal RNA
Rfam family: Eukaryotic small subunit ribosomal RNA (bases 1-73)
Source: RNAcentral
GCAAACUUGGUCAUUUAGAGGAAGUAAAAGUCGUAACAAGGUUUCCGUAGGUGAACCUGCGGAAGGAUCAUUAUAGUAUAUGGAAUACCCAUUCUAUAAACCCACUCUGUGUAUCUGUUACUGUUGCUUCCAUGGGACAUGAACUUGUUCACAUCGGCCUUUUGGCUGGUGAGCUCCCAUGGGAGGAUACAUAAACUCUUCUUUGAAGUGAAGUUAGUCUGAAAAUGAUUUUAUAAAAGUUAAAACUUUCAACAACGGAUCUCUUGGUUCUCGCAUCGAUGAAGAACGCAGC